RNAcentral lists this unclassified non-coding RNA (161 nucleotides) under fungal sp. RNAcentral's name for it is "partial internal transcribed spacer region". The stretch from base 1 to 46 matches the Rfam family "Eukaryotic small subunit ribosomal RNA", at positions 1786 to 1831 of the family's 1831-position model. Lineage: Eukaryota; Fungi. The record is from RNAcentral.
AAGUCGUAACAAGGUAACCGUAGGUGAACCUGCGGAAGGAUCAUUAAAAAUACCAAAUAUUUUUAUACACCUUCAAAUUUUAUUGAUACUAUUCUUUAUUUCAUUCGAAAUAAAAAUAAAUAAUCUUAAUAUAACUUUUAACAAUGGAUCUCUUGGCUCUC